AGCGAACGCUGGCGGCAGGAUUAACACAUGCAAGUCGAGCGGGCCCUUCGGGGUCAGCGGCAGACGGGUGAGUAACACGUGGGAACGUACCCUUUGGUUCGGAAUAACGCUGGGAAACUAGCGCUAAUACCGGAUACGCCCUUUUGGGGAAAGGCUUGCUGCCGAAGGAUCGGCCCGCGUCUGAUUAGCUAGUUGGUGGGGUAAUGGCCUACCAAGGCGACGAUCAGUAGCUGGUCUGAGAGGAUGAUCAGCCACACUGGGACUGAGACACGGCCCAGACUCCUACGGGAGGCAGCAGUGGGGAAUAUUGGACAAUGGGCGCAAGCCUGAUCCAGCCAUGCCGCGUGAGUGAUGAAGGCCUUAGGGUUGUAAAGCUCUUUUGUCCGGGACGAUAAUGACGGUACCGGAAGAAUAAGCCCCGGCUAACUUCGUG
Molecule: ribosomal RNA, 433 nt
Filed under: uncultured bacterium
Lineage: Bacteria
Description: partial 16S ribosomal RNA
Rfam family: Bacterial small subunit ribosomal RNA
Source: RNAcentral